AUUACUUAUGCUACAUCUUACGGACUUUCAACAAUACAGGCCCAAUUGUCAUGAAUAAUGAAACACCCCUAACUAAAGAUGUAGCAAUGUCCUCACUGCAUAAAUAAUUAAGGGUAGAAGAGAUAAGGGUGCUUCUUGAAACUCUAUCAAGGGCUGCUAUCACUCGCAAACCCUGCACCAUCACCAUCUUCCUCAAGAUCUGACCACUUGGCUGGGGCCUCAUUAUCACUGUCCACCCA
RNAcentral lists this long non-coding RNA (239 nucleotides) under Capsicum annuum. RNAcentral describes it as "long non-coding RNA (CANN_LNC013811)". The record is from RNAcentral. Lineage: Eukaryota; Viridiplantae; Streptophyta; Magnoliopsida; Solanales; Solanaceae.